This 69-nucleotide transfer RNA is filed under the name Rattus norvegicus (Norway rat). It matches the Rfam family "tRNA". Rfam says of the family: Transfer RNA (tRNA) molecules are approximately 80 nucleotides in length. Their secondary structure includes four short double-helical elements and three loops (D, anti-codon, and T loops). The record is from Rfam by way of RNAcentral. Lineage: Eukaryota; Metazoa; Chordata; Mammalia; Rodentia; Muridae.
GGGGAUUUAGCUCAGUGGUAGAGCUAUUGCCUAGCAAGCACAAGGCCCUGGGUUCGGUCCCCAGCUCUG